UACAGAGGUCCCAAGCGUUGUUCGGAUUCACUGGGCGUAAAGGGUGCGUAGGUGGUGGGGUAAGUCGGAUGUGAAAGCUCGGAGCUCAACUCCGAAAUGGCAUUGGAAACUACCCUGCUAGAGGAUUGGAGGGGGGACUGGAAUACUUGGUGUAGCAGUGAAAUGCGUAGAUAUCAGGAGGAACACCAAUGGCGAAGGCAGCACUCUGGGACGUGACUGACGCUGAGACGCGAAAGCGUGGGGAGCAAACAGG
This 253-nucleotide ribosomal RNA is filed under the name uncultured bacterium. RNAcentral's name for it is "partial 16S ribosomal RNA". It matches the Rfam family "Bacterial small subunit ribosomal RNA", at positions 524 to 776 of the family's 1533-position model. The record is from RNAcentral.